RNAcentral lists this non-coding RNA (26 nucleotides) under Mus musculus (house mouse). Lineage: Eukaryota; Metazoa; Chordata; Mammalia; Rodentia; Muridae. The record is from RNAcentral.
GUGGUUCUAUAAGAAAGCAGGCUGAG